Molecule: ribosomal RNA, 408 nt
Filed under: uncultured bacterium
Lineage: Bacteria
Description: partial 16S ribosomal RNA
Rfam family: Bacterial small subunit ribosomal RNA
Source: RNAcentral
GACGAACGCUGGCGGCGUGCUUAACACAUGCAAGUCGAACGAAGUGGCGAACGGGUGAGUAACGAGUAAUCAACCUGCCCUUCAGAGGGGGACAACAGUUGGAAACGACUGCUAAUACCGCAUAGUGAAGGAGGGUAUUGCGUGUGAUUAGCUGGUUGGAGGGGUAACGGCCCAACAAGGCGAUGCUCAGUAGGCGGGCGUAGAGUAUGAAAGGCCAAAAUGGGACUGAGAAACGGCCCAGACUCCCACGGGAGGCAGCAGGUGGGAAUCUUCCGCAAUGGAGGAAAGGCUGACGGAGCAACGCCGCGUGAGUGAUGACGGCAUUCGGGUUGUAAAGCUAUGUUAAUCGGGAAGCGGUACCGGAAUAGAAAGCCACGGCUAACUACGUGCGAGCAGCCGCGGUAAUUC